This 690-nucleotide ribosomal RNA is filed under the name uncultured delta proteobacterium. Its description in RNAcentral is "bacterial SSU rRNA". It matches the Rfam family "Bacterial small subunit ribosomal RNA", at positions 78 to 745 of the family's 1533-position model. Lineage: Bacteria; Deltaproteobacteria. The record is from RNAcentral.
CUUCGGUCCGUGAGUAAAGCGGCGGACGGGUGAGUAACACGUGGAUAACCUACCCUUCGGCGGGGGACAACAGCCCGAAAGGGCUGCUAAUACCGCAUACGUCGGCAGCAGCAACAGUUGCAGCCGGGAAAGCCAGCCACUACAUGUAAGCUGGCGCCGAAGGAGGGGUCCGCGUCCCAUCAGCUUGUUGGUGAGGUAAAAGCUCACCAAGGCUAAGACGGGUAGCUGGUCUGAGAGGAUGAUCAGCCACACUGGGACUGAGACACGGCCCAGACUCCUACGGGAGGCAGCAGUGGGGAAUAUUGGGCAAUGGAGGCAACUCUGACCCAGCCACACCGCGUGAGUGAUGAAGGCCUUCGGGUCGUAAAGCUCUGUGGGGAAGGACGAAACUACGCAGGUAAAUAGCCUGCGGACUGACGGUACUUCCUUAGCAAGCACCGGCUAACUCCGUGCCAGCAGCCGCGGUAAUACGGAGGGUGCAAACGUUGCUCGGAAUUAUUGGGCGUAAAGCGUGCGUAGGCGGCCUGGCAAGUCGGGUGUGAAAGCCCUCGGCUUAACCGAGGAAGUGCACUCGAAACUACCCGGCUUGAGUACCGGAGAGGGUGACGGAAUUCCCGGUGUAGAGGUGAAAUUCGUAGAUAUCGGGAGGAACACCAGUGGCGAAGGCGGUCAUCUGGACGGAUACUGACG